AUACAGAGGGUGCGAGCGUUAAUCGGAUUUACUGGGCGUAAAGCGCGCGUAGGCGGCCAGAUAAGUCGGAUGUGAAAGCCCCGGGCUCAACCUGGGAAUUGCAUUCGAUACUGUCUGGCUAGAGUAUGGUAGAGGGAAGUGGAAUUCCACAUGUAGCGGUGAAAUGCGUAGAUAUGUGGAGGAACACCAGUGGCGAAGGCGGCUUCCUGGCCCAAUACUGACGCUGAGGCGCGAAAGCGUGGGGAGCAAACAGGAUUAGAUACCCCAGUAGUCC
This 274-nucleotide ribosomal RNA is filed under the name uncultured bacterium. RNAcentral describes it as "partial 16S ribosomal RNA". It matches the Rfam family "Bacterial small subunit ribosomal RNA", at positions 523 to 796 of the family's 1533-position model. The record is from RNAcentral.